RNAcentral lists this ribosomal RNA (253 nucleotides) under uncultured bacterium. RNAcentral's name for it is "partial 16S ribosomal RNA". It matches the Rfam family "Bacterial small subunit ribosomal RNA", at positions 524 to 776 of the family's 1533-position model. The record is from RNAcentral.
UACAGAGGCCUCGAGCGUUAGGCGGAAUCACUGGGCUUAAAGCGUGUGUAGGCGGAGUUCUAAGUACCUUGUGAAAUCCCACGGCUCAACCGUGGAACUGCUUGGUAUACUGGUUCUCUUGAGGUACCUAGGGGCGAGCGGAACAAGUGGUGGAGCGGUGAAAUGCGUAGAUAUCACUUGGAACGCCAACGGUGAAAACAGCUCGCUAGGACGGUACUGACGCUGAGACGCGAAAGCGUGGGGAGCGAACAGG